RNAcentral lists this long non-coding RNA (348 nucleotides) under Gossypium raimondii (Peruvian cotton). RNAcentral's name for it is "long non-coding RNA (GRAI_LNC006328)". The record is from RNAcentral. Lineage: Eukaryota; Viridiplantae; Streptophyta; Magnoliopsida; Malvales; Malvaceae.
GUAGAAAAUACUCCAACCAGAUCUAGAGAAACAAAACACAAACAGAUUUGUUAGAAGUGAUUACAAAAACAAACUGUUUUGUGCAAGAUUGUUUGAAACAACAAGAAAAGAUUAAAACUUCUAUUUUAAUGUGUUUCUUAAUGGAAUAAGAUAGGAGAACAUUUUUCUUGAAGCAACUUUAACCUGGAAUGAAAAUCAAUAAAAUUAGCAAGCCAAAACAGCAAGAACUAACUUAAAUAAGCAAUAAAAAAUAAAUUAAGGAUAGAAAAGAGAAGACAACGUCCUAAGAAGCCUUGGAAACAUUAAGAAUCCACAACUCCUUUCAAUGGCUCUAAUUUCCCCUCCAAG